RNAcentral lists this ribosomal RNA (448 nucleotides) under uncultured bacterium. RNAcentral's name for it is "partial 16S ribosomal RNA". It matches the Rfam family "Bacterial small subunit ribosomal RNA", at positions 328 to 793 of the family's 1533-position model. The record is from RNAcentral.
UUUCCAGACUCCUACGGGAGGCAGCAGUGGGGGAUAUUGCACAAUGGGGGGAACCCUGAUGCAGCGACGCCGCGUGGGUGAAGAAGCGCCUCGGCGCGUAAAGCCCUGUCAGCAGGGAAGAAAAUGACGGUACCUGAAGAAGAAGCCCCGGCUAACUACGUGCCAGCAGCCGCGGUAAUACGUAGGGGGCAAGCGUUAUCCGGAUUUACGGGGUGUAAAGGGAGCGUAGGUGGCAGGGCAAGUCAGAUGUGAAAACCCGGGGCUCAACCCCGGGAGUGCAUUUGAAACUGUCCAGCUGGAGUGCAGGAGAGGUAAGCGGAAUUCCUAGUGUAGCGGUGAAAUGCAUAGAUAUUAGGAGGAACACCAGUGGCGAAGGCGGCUUACUGGACUGUAACUGACACUGAGGCUCGAAAGCGUGGGGAGCAAACAGGAUUAGAUACCCCGGUAC